Molecule: ribosomal RNA, 253 nt
Filed under: uncultured bacterium
Lineage: Bacteria
Description: partial 16S ribosomal RNA
Rfam family: Bacterial small subunit ribosomal RNA
Source: RNAcentral
UACGGAGGGGGCAAGCGUUAAUCGGAAUUACUGGGCGUAAAGGGAGCGUAGGCGGCCAGUUGAGUCAGGUGUGAAAGCCCCGGGCUUAACCUGGGAGGUGCACUUGAUACUGGGUGGCUUGAAUUCGGGAGAGGAUGGGGGAAUUCCCAGUGUAGUGGUGAAAUUCGUAGAUAUUGGGAAGAACACCGAUGGCGAAGGCAGCCAUCUGGACCCGGAUUGACGCUGAGGUACGAAAGCGUGGGGAGCAAACAGG